RNAcentral lists this unclassified non-coding RNA (610 nucleotides) under Hevea brasiliensis (rubber tree). The record is from RNAcentral. Lineage: Eukaryota; Viridiplantae; Streptophyta; Magnoliopsida; Malpighiales; Euphorbiaceae.
UCAUCUGUUACAGUCAUGGAAGCUUGUAGAGGGACAUUUCGAGCCUGUGGCCUGAAACUAAUUAAAUGGGGUCCUUCAUGAACAUUCAGAUAAGACCCAAUUCCAUGGCCAGUACCAUGCCUAUAAUCAAGACCAUCCUUCCAUAAAGGGAUUCGAGCAAGGAUGUCAAGGGCAUGACCAUUAGUCCCAUUAGGAAACCGGGCAUUACCGAGGGCAAUGUGACCCUUGAGAACCGCAGUAUAGCAUGCUUUCUCGUGUGCUGAUGGCUUUCCAAAAUGGACUGUGCGAGUUAUGUCAGUUGUUCCAUCCAGAUACUGAGCUCCUGAAUCAAAAAGAUAGAUGCUAUUUGGAUCAAGCUCAGCACACGUUUCAGCCUUUGGAGAAUAGUGGAUGAUAGCACCAUUUGGACCCACUGAUGAAAUUGUAGNNNNNNNNNNNGCCCUCUAAAAUGCUCUUUUGAUGCCCGAAAACCUUCCAGCUUAUCACUUACAGUCACCUCUGUCAGCUUUUUAGUUUUCGAGUCCUUUUUCUUGUUUGCACUCUCCAACUCCAAGAAGUAACCAGAAGCCCCAUGAAUCUCCUGCAUCUGCUUAUCCAACCAGACAAGAUA